RNAcentral lists this long non-coding RNA (365 nucleotides) under Salvia miltiorrhiza (redroot sage). Its description in RNAcentral is "long non-coding RNA (SMIL_LNC002947)". The record is from RNAcentral. Lineage: Eukaryota; Viridiplantae; Streptophyta; Magnoliopsida; Lamiales; Lamiaceae.
UUCCAAAAAUUAAAAACAAAAUCCAAAAGAAAAACACAUAUAUUCAACAAUUUUCACAUGAAUAUUCAGAAAACGAAAGUGCGAAAAUAUAUUUUCAAAGAUUAAGAGAAUUCUUACCAGAAAAUUUUAGAGAAAUUGAAAUGAAGUCGACGAUUUCCAGAGGAUAGUGAAAAAGGUGGGCAGAUUGGAUGAGCAGACUUCAAUAAUUCCAGCGUCCAUUCGUCAAUGGUUGAAAUCGCUGAAGAAAAUAGCCGCCCAAAAUCUUCCGCCGUUUAUGAAUAUCGACGCCCAGAACAUUCUGCCCAAACUCUAUUUCUUGAAUAUAAAGAUGCCGCAAGUCGUUUGGAAUUUGCACAAUAUCCGGG